AGGCUGAUAGCGGACAAGUACAGUGAUGGAAAUUUGAAAAGAACUUUGAAGAGAGAGUUAAGAGUACGUGAAACCAAUAGUCGGUAAACGAAGCCUAUCUCAAAGUGUUCGCUUCCGAAGUUCAGCCUGCCCUUUCAGGCGGCUGGUGCAUUCUUUGGAAGCGUGCGGUGGUAGGAACUGCUCUCGACAGUUAUCAGCUAGCUAGAUGGCUUGUUGCCGCUGCUGCGGGUUCAAGCUCUAGCGUCAGGCUGUGCCAUUGUCGAAGGCAGGGAGUGAUUCUCCGGAAUCCUUCUACCAAGUAGAUUGAUGAAGGCUUCGACCCGUCUUGAAACACGGAC
This 338-nucleotide ribosomal RNA is filed under the name Acartia negligens. RNAcentral's name for it is "eukaryotic LSU rRNA". It matches the Rfam family "Eukaryotic large subunit ribosomal RNA", at positions 331 to 666 of the family's 3401-position model. The record is from RNAcentral. Lineage: Eukaryota; Metazoa; Arthropoda; Copepoda; Calanoida; Acartiidae.